UCCCAGGUGGCUCAGUGGUAAAGAAUCUGCCUGCAAUGCAGGAGAAUCAGGAGACACAGGUUCGAUCCCUGGGUUGGGAA
This 80-nucleotide transfer RNA is filed under the name Bos taurus (domestic cattle). It matches the Rfam family "tRNA". Rfam says of the family: Transfer RNA (tRNA) molecules are approximately 80 nucleotides in length. The record is from Rfam by way of RNAcentral. Lineage: Eukaryota; Metazoa; Chordata; Mammalia; Artiodactyla; Bovidae. RNAcentral also lists the same sequence under 2 other names.